Long non-coding RNA from Mus musculus (house mouse), 1435 nucleotides. RefSeq annotates it as predicted gene, 33057. The transcript has 6 exons. The record is from RefSeq and is a predicted model, not a curated record. NCBI's taxonomy places the organism in Eukaryota, Metazoa, Chordata, Mammalia, Rodentia, Muridae.
UCGGAAGCAAGGAGCAACAGAGUAUCUGUGAAUCAGACGUACAGGAUUGUUUCCAGUUCCUGGGCUUUUGCAUCACAUAUUUUCAGAGUGAAGAAAACAGAAAAUAAAUGGUUUUCAUUCUUUGGAAGCUACAUCCUGCCUUAGAAAGAACUGUGUCCAAACUUUUCUUGAAAACAUUUCAUCUGACAAACAUGUUGGAGUGCUCUCAGAUGGGAGUGGACCAUUCCUGUGUAGCAGUAUCAUGAGCUCUGCUUUGCCUACUAAGACCUUUCUGGAAACCGUGGGAGCUCUCUGCCCUCCAGCCAACGGGGAAGCAGCAGAAUGAAGAGGGCUAAUAGCGGCUGUCAACUGAGAGUGCUCAGGGUUGCUGUGGCUCUUCCCCUCCUCAGGAGGCAACAAAGAUUACAAGGUAUACAUUUUGUGGUGAAAGGACACGCUGUGAUUCCUGACUGCUUCAUGACCACAUUGAGCACACUGAUUCACGCCAUUGGAGUUUGUUUAAAUUGAUGCUGACAGAUGACAUCUCUUAUUGAAUUUCUCAGAAUUUAUGUCUGUUGUGAGGUAUGACGGUGAUGCAUAUGAAUGGAAGGCGCAAUCAAGCAUAUUACAUUUGUAAGACAUCACUAAACCAUCGGAUUAGCCGUGAUUCUGUAUAGGAAGGGCUCUAACUGGCUGCAGAUGGCUCACUACUGCUAAGCUGAAGGAGAGGCAUGAUGGCGGACAGAGACUCCCAACAGGAAACAGGUUCACUGCAUUCCACCAGCAUAUUAGAUGUCCUCUUUGAAUUCAACUGUUACAAUUUUCUCUAAAUUAAACAAAUUUUACUCUUAAGGAAGUUUGAUACAAAAGGUGAGUUAUUUCAAUUGGCCUCAGUUAUCAAUAUUAUAGUUAUGAACAUAUAAAAUAUCUGGACAUUGAGAUAAAUUUGACCCAGAGUUAAGAAAUCUUGGUACAAAUUUCAAUUGUGGCCAGAAGAAGUUUAUUAAAUAGGUGUCUCCAAGAGAGUUUCAUUUUCUACUUACGUAUUCUCUCCUUUCCUUCUCUUUUCUCUCCUUUUCUUUCACUAAACAUAUACUUGGCAGAUAUUCCUUCAAAAAUAAUGUAAGGAGAAAUAAUUAAAGCUAUGGGUCAUGCCUAGAGAACUCUCCAUCUAGUUACCCCCACUUCUUUAACAAACUCCAUAAUGCUGUGUGCUUCUAGGUUUUCAAGAUAGAACUAGUGUUCUAAUCAUUAAUUAAGCUGUUCAAUCGUACUAUCAAAGUAUGAGAUUCAAACUCAACUGCUAUUGCACUAAUCAGUGCAAAACACAAAGCUGGAAGGCCUUAUUACUUUUAACAAGUACUCACAAUAACCUUUGUCUUACAUUGGAUGACAAACUAUUAUUUAUUUUAACAAAGAUCAAGUUUGAGUUUUGCAUUAAGCUCUUAAAAUAAUC